This 1978-nucleotide long non-coding RNA is filed under the name Homo sapiens (human). Its description in RNAcentral is "HSALNT0162953". The record is from RNAcentral. Lineage: Eukaryota; Metazoa; Chordata; Mammalia; Primates; Hominidae.
AAUAAUUAUAACAAUAUACAGCAAUGAGAGCUACAUGAAUCUAGUCUCUUUCUCUCUCAAAAUAUUUUAUUGUACUGUCUUCACCAUUCUUCUCUUAAUCUGUCAAUCUGAUCACCAAGAGGACUGCUGAGUGACUCGUGGGCAGGUAGCAUGGACAGCGUGGAUAUGCUGGGCAAAAGAAUGAUUCACUAAGUGACUAAGGGGCGGGAGCCAGACAGUGAGCUUUCUGAUGAACAGCGGGCAAUUUAAAACUUAUGAACUGUUGGCUGGGCACAGUGGGUCACGCCUGUAAUCCCAGUAUGUUGGGAGGCCGAGGCGGGUGGAUCACUUGAGGUCAGGAGUUCGAGACCAGCCUGGCCAAUAUGGUGAAGCCCCGUCUCUAUUAAAAAUACAAAAAUUAUCCUGGCAUGGUGGCUCACACCUGUAAUCCCAACUACUCUGGAAGCAAAGAAUCGCUUGAACCCGGGAAGCGGAAGUUGCAGUGAGCCGAGAUUGCGCCACUGCACUCCAGCCUGAGUGUCACAGUGAGACUCUGUCUCAAAAUAAACAAAUAAAUAAAUGAAUAAAUCAUGAGUUGUUUACUUCUGGGAUUUUCCAUUUAAUAUUACUAACCGUGGUUGACCAGGGGCAACAGAAGCCGUGGAUAAUGGGGGCUAUUGUACACAAAAAUUACCAUGAUAGAGUUUUACGCAGUACAAAUGAAAAACAAAAUAACACAAUUCCAUUUACACGUAGUUUUAUGUAGAAAGUCUUUAAAUAAUUGUGACUAGAAUUAAAUACAGUAGAUUACUAUUAGUAAUUAUUUGUGAUGUGACAGAUGUGUUACUAUAUACUUAGUUUAUCACUUUCUCUUCCUAGACCCACAAGAAGUUAUUUCUCAGCCUUUCUUGCAGUUUCCAUGUACUUGGGCCCUACACAAGAUGUGGGAUGAAAGCAGUGAAAGACAUUUCCACUACUGGUCCUCUUAAAAAUUCUAAUACAAACUUCCAGUAAUGACCUUGGAGACCCUAUGUUCCAGAUUGAGAAGUUAAAAGAUAGACAAGGACUACAUAGCCUACAUCAAGUUUUGGGUAAAGAAAAAUAAGAGAUGGAAGACACUAAAAGGAGGCCAGCUUUGCGAAGAAUAGAGAGGAGUCAGCACAAACUCCUGCAACUACUUCGCAAAAAAAGCUUCCAUGCUGGAGAGGCUCACAUUAUAUGGAAUUCUGGACAACACCUGUCAAAGUACUGAAUCUACCAACAAGCAUGUGAGUGAGAUUGAUUAUAACUUGUGACAGUCUCUGAAUAGAAGACCCAGAUAAGCCAUGCCCAGAUUCCUGCCCCGCAGAGACUUUGAGAUAAUAAAGGCUGUUUUUUUUUUUUUUUUUUUUGGUCAUGAAGAAUAUGUUUCUUAUCUUUUUUUUAAAUUUUAUUAUUAUACUUUAUUUUGGGAUAAUUUGUUAUGCAGGAAUUGACGAAUAAUAUAAAUACUUUUGAAAUGUAACUUUUUUAUCUUAAUAAGCAUUUAACAAAUAAUUUGAAGAUGGAUAAUCACAGAUACCUCAAUUUUUACCAACAUAACCAGGACCCUUCUUGUAACUUUGACUAAUAAAUGAUCUUUUGAACAUUACCAUUUUGUAACUGCAUUUUAGACUAUGAUUUAGUUGAAUCACCCAAAGUGUGUAAUGUCUUUUAAUGUGCACUGUCAAUUCUGUUCUGCCAUAAUGACCUCACUUUCAGUUCUUAACUAUAUUCAUCUCAGUCUUGUGGGGUGACUGUCUCAAGAAGAAUGACUGGUAAUACCAAGAACUUCUGUUGUUUCCAUAAAUAACAGCCAGAUUACAGCCAGAACCUCAAGGCUGAGCACAACCGCUCAUGUUUGGAAUCCCAGCCCUUUGGGAGGCCUAGACCAGAGGAUCACUUUGAGGACAGGAGUUUGAGACCAGAUUGGGAAACAAUGCAAGAUUUUGUCUCUGAAAAAAAAUAAAAUAAAAUAAGC